RNAcentral lists this ribosomal RNA (465 nucleotides) under Vreelandella stevensii. RNAcentral's name for it is "partial 16S ribosomal RNA". It matches the Rfam family "Bacterial small subunit ribosomal RNA", at positions 338 to 795 of the family's 1533-position model. The record is from RNAcentral. Lineage: Bacteria; Pseudomonadati; Pseudomonadota; Gammaproteobacteria; Oceanospirillales; Halomonadaceae.
CCUACGGGGGGCUGCAGUGGGGAAUAUUGGACAAUGGGGGCAACCCUGAUCCAGCCAUGCCGCGUGUGUGAAGAAGGCCCUCGGGUUGUAAAGCACUUUCAGUGAGGAAGAACGCCUGGUGGUUAAUACCCAUCAGGAAAGACAUCACUCACAGAAGAAGCACCGGCUAACUCCGUGCCAGCAGCCGCGGUAAUACGGAGGGUGCGAGCGUUAAUCGGAAUUACUGGGCGUAAAGCGCGCGUAGGUGGCUUGAUAAGCCGGUUGUGAAAGCCCCGGGCUCAACCUGGGAACGGCAUCCGGAACUGUCAAGCUAGAGUGCAGGAGAGGAAGGUAGAAUUCCCGGUGUAGCGGUGAAAUGCGUAGAGAUCGGGAGGAAUACCAGCGGCGAAGGCGGCCUUCUGGACUGACACUGACACUGAGGUGCGAAAGCGUGGGUAGCAAACAGGAUUAGAUACCCGAGUAGUC